This 301-nucleotide ribosomal RNA is filed under the name uncultured bacterium. Its description in RNAcentral is "partial 16S ribosomal RNA". It matches the Rfam family "Bacterial small subunit ribosomal RNA", at positions 509 to 807 of the family's 1533-position model. The record is from RNAcentral.
CAGCCGCCACGGUAAUACAGAGGGUGCGAGCGUUAAUCGGAUUUACUGGGCGUAAAGCGUGCGUAGGCGGCUUCUUAAGUCGGAUGUGAAAUCCCCGGGCUCAACCUGGGAACUGCAUCCAAAACUGGCAAGCUAGAGUACGGUAGAGGGUGGUGGAAUUUCCUGUGUAGCGGUGAAAUGCGUAGAUAUAGGAAGGAACACCAGUGGCGAAGGCGACCACCUGGACUGAUACUGACACUGAGGUGCGAAAGCGUGGGGAGCAAACAGGAUUAGAUACCCGAGUAGUCCCUGUCUCUUAUAC